Molecule: ribosomal RNA, 467 nt
Filed under: uncultured bacterium
Lineage: Bacteria
Description: partial 16S ribosomal RNA
Rfam family: Bacterial small subunit ribosomal RNA
Source: RNAcentral
GACGAACGCUGGCGGCGUGCUUAACACAUGCAAGUCGAACGGAAAGGCCUCUUUCGGGGGGUACUCGAGUGGCGAACGGGUGAGUAACACGUGAGUAACCUGCCCUUGACUUUGGGAUAACUUCAGGAAACUGGGGCUAAUACCGGAUAGGAGCUCCUGCUGCAUGGUGGGGGUUGGAAAGUUUCGGCGGUUGGGGAUGGACUCGCGGCUUAUCAGCUUGUUGGUGGGGUAGUGGCUUACCAAGGCUUUGACGGGUAGCCGGCCUGAGAGGGUGACCGGCCACACUGGGACUGAGAUACGGCCCAGACUCCGACGGGAGGCAGCAGGGGGGAAGAUUGCACAAUGGGUGGAAGCCUGAUGCAGCAACGCCGUGGGCGGGAGGACGGUCUUCGGGUUGGAAACCGCUUUCGCUCAUGACGAAGCUUUGUGUGACGGUAGUGGGUAAAGAAGCACCGGCUAACUACGUG